AGAAUGAACGUUGGCGGCGUGGAUUAGGCAUGCAAGUCGUACGGGCCGCAAGGCCAGUGGCGCAAGGGUGAGUAAGGCGACGGUAACCAACCCCAUGACUGGGUAUAGCCGCGGGAAACUGCGGGUAAUCCCCAGCGACGUCCGGGGGGGGCAUCCCCCCGGGACCAAAGCUCCGGCGUCGUGGGACGGGCCGUCGUGGUAUUAGGUCGUUGGCGGGGUAACGGCCCACCAAGCCUGCGAUGCCUACCGGGCGUGCGAGCGUGGCCCGGCACACUGGGACUGAGACACUGCCCAGACUCCUACGGGAGGCUGCAGUCGAGAAUCUUCGGCAAUGGGCGCAAGCCUGACCGAGCGACGCCGCGUGGAGGACGAAGGCCUUCGGGUUGUAAACUCCUGUCGAGGGGGAAGAAGGCCCCGUGAGGGCUUGACUGAUCCCUGGAGGAGCACGGGCUAAGUUCGCGCCAGCAGCCGC
Molecule: ribosomal RNA, 472 nt
Filed under: uncultured bacterium
Lineage: Bacteria
Description: SSU rRNA
Rfam family: Bacterial small subunit ribosomal RNA
Source: RNAcentral